RNAcentral lists this ribosomal RNA (229 nucleotides) under uncultured bacterium. RNAcentral describes it as "partial 16S ribosomal RNA". It matches the Rfam family "Bacterial small subunit ribosomal RNA", at positions 107 to 334 of the family's 1533-position model. The record is from RNAcentral.
UGAGUAACACGUAUCCAACCUGCCGUCUACUCUUGGACAGCCUUCUGAAAGGAAGAUUAAUACAAGAUGGCAUCAUGAGUCCACAUGUUCACAUGAUUAAAGGUAUUUUCCGGUAGACGAUGGGGAUGCGUUCCAUUAGAUAGUAGGCGGGGUAACGGCCCACCUAGUCAACGAUGGAUAGGGGUUCUGAGAGGAAGGUCCCCCACAUUGGAACUGAGACACGGUCCAA